CCUACGGGAGGCAGCAGUGGGGAAUCUUGGGCAAUGGGCGCAAGCCUGACCCAGCAACGCCGCGUGAAGGAAGACGGCUUUCGGGUUGUAAACUUCUUUUAAGAGGGAAGAGCAGAAGACGGUACCUCUUGAAUAAGCCACGGCUAACUACGUGCCAGCAGCCGCGGUAAUACGUAGGUGGCAAGCGUUGUCCGGAUUUACUGGGUGUAAAGGGCGUGUAGCCGGGCUGACAAGUCAGAUGUGAAAUCCCGUGGCUCAACCACGGAACUGCAUUGGAAACUGUCGGUCUUGGGUAUCGGAGAGGCAGGCGGAAUUCCUAGUGUAGCGGUGAAAUGAGUAGAUAGUAGGAGGAACACCAGUGGCGAAGGCGGCCUGCUGGACGACAACUGACGGUGAGGCGCGAAAGCGUGGGGAGCAAACAGGAUUAGAUACCCCAGUAGUC
Molecule: ribosomal RNA, 442 nt
Filed under: uncultured bacterium
Lineage: Bacteria
Description: partial 16S ribosomal RNA
Rfam family: Bacterial small subunit ribosomal RNA
Source: RNAcentral